This 440-nucleotide ribosomal RNA is filed under the name uncultured bacterium. RNAcentral describes it as "partial 16S ribosomal RNA". It matches the Rfam family "Bacterial small subunit ribosomal RNA", at positions 338 to 795 of the family's 1533-position model. The record is from RNAcentral.
CCUACGGGGGGCAGCAGUAGGGAAUAUUGCUCAAUGGGGGAAACCCUGAAGCAGCCAAGUCGCGUGGAGGAUGAAGGUUUUCGGAUUGGUAACUCCUUUUGGUAGGGAAGAUAAUGACGCUACCUAACGAAUAAGCACCGGCUAACGCCGAGCCAGCAGCCGCGGUAAAAUGGAGGGUGCAAGCGUUACUCGGAAUCACUGGGCGUAAAGAGCGGGUAGGCGGGAUAACAAGUCAGAUGUGAAAUCCUAUGGCUUAACCCUAGAACUGCAUUUGAAACUGGUAUUCUAGAGUAGGGGAGAGGUAGGUGGAAUUCUUGGUGUAGGGGUAAAAUCCGUAGAGAUCAAGAGGAAUACUCAUUGCGAAGGCGACCUGCUAGAACAUAACUGACGCUGAUGCGCGAAAGCGUGGGGAGCAAACAGGAUUAGAUACCCGAGUAGUC